AAUGCACGCAAGUGCGAUGGGGGGACUCCGAGUGUGGUCUUCCCACAAGGAAGGCCACUUUUCUGCACUGUAAGGAGGUGCCGGAACAAGGGGUGGGCAAUACUGCUGCCAGCCGCCGCGGUAAUAGCAGAACCCCGAGUGGUAGUCGUUAUUAUUGGGCUUSCGCAAAGUGUUCGUAGCCGGCCGUGUAAGUCCGCUGUGSCGCAAAUCCAGGCGCUUAACGUCUGGGCGUGCAGCGGAUACUGCACUGGCUUGGGACCGGACGGUGUCGAGGCUAUUCCAAGAGUAGGGGUGSCGCAAAUCCUSCGCAAAAUUCCUGGAGGAGCGCCUGUGGCGGAAGCGCUCGACAAGUACGGAUCCGACGGUGAGGAACGSCGCAAAGCCAGGGGAGCSCGCAAAGCGGAUUAGAUACCCGCGUAGUCCUGGCCGUUAACAUUGCCUGUUUGAUGUCAGCCAACCUUCGGGGUUGGCUGGUGCCGAAGUGSCGCAAAACGUUSCGCAAACAGGCCGCCUGGGUAGUACGGUC
Molecule: ribosomal RNA, 526 nt
Filed under: uncultured archaeon
Lineage: Archaea
Description: bacterial SSU rRNA
Rfam family: Archaeal small subunit ribosomal RNA
Source: RNAcentral